Molecule: long non-coding RNA, 234 nt
Filed under: Drosophila guanche
Lineage: Eukaryota; Metazoa; Arthropoda; Insecta; Diptera; Drosophilidae
Source: RNAcentral
CUUAGAUGGACGUCUGGAUGGUGUAAAAUGGAAUGGAAUGAAGUGAAAUGAACGAGGGAACAAACAUUACAAACAAUGAAUGAAAAGCAAGCUCACAUGACAACGCGCCAUAAUUAAGAACAAUGCCAACUUAUUCAACGCCAGACCAUGCGAGAUGUACCAGGGUUUAUCCGCCACUUGACACUUGAUGGAUUCCAUUUCCGUGACAUGCCAUCGCAAGAAACUGGUCGGUAC